CAGGAGGUAGUUUAUUUAAAAUGUUAAUUUUGGAGGUUAAUGAUGAGGUUUAUUCUUUCUUCUGA
RNAcentral lists this transfer RNA (65 nucleotides) under Neotermes insularis. RNAcentral describes it as "tRNA-Pro". The record is from RNAcentral. Lineage: Eukaryota; Metazoa; Arthropoda; Insecta; Blattodea; Kalotermitidae.